GCUGGGCAUGAUGGCUUAUGCCUAUAGUCCCAGCUACUUGGGAGGCUGAGGUGGGAGGAUCCCUUGAGCCCAGGAGUUCAAGGCUGCAGUGAGCUAUGAUCUCACCACUGCACUCCAACCUGGGCAACAGAGCAAGACCCCAUCUCUA
Gorilla gorilla gorilla (western lowland gorilla) is the source of this 148-nucleotide non-coding RNA. It matches the Rfam family "Metazoan signal recognition particle RNA". Rfam says of the family: The signal recognition particle (SRP) is a universally conserved ribonucleoprotein. It is involved in the co-translational targeting of proteins to membranes. NCBI's taxonomy places the organism in Eukaryota, Metazoa, Chordata, Mammalia, Primates, Hominidae. The record is from Rfam.